ACGGGAGGCAGCAGUGGGGAAUAUUGGGCAAUGGGCGAAAGCCUGACCCAGCAACGCCGCGUGAAGGAAGAAGGUCUUCGGAUUGUAAACUUUUUUGACAGGGGACGACACAAGACGGUACCCUGAAAACAAGCCACGGCUAACUACGUGCCAGCAGCCGCGGUAAUACGUAGGUGGCAAGCGUUAUCCGGAUUUACUGGGUGUAAAGGGCGUGUAGCCGGGGGAGCAAGUCAGAUGUGAAAUCUAUGGGCUUAACCCAUAAACUGCAUUUGAAACUGUUCUUCUUGAGUGCUGGAGGGGCAAUCGGAAUUCCUUGUGUAGCGGUGAAAUGCGUAGAUAUAAGGAGGAACACCAGUGGCGAAGGCGGAUUGCUGGACAGUAACUGACGGUGAGGCGCGAAAGUGUGGGGAGCAAACAGGAUUAGAUACCCUGGUA
Molecule: ribosomal RNA, 435 nt
Rfam family: Bacterial small subunit ribosomal RNA